GACGUAGGGCGCGAGCGUUGUCCGGAUUUAUUGGGCGUAAAGAGCUCGUAGGCGUCUUGUCGCGUCGUUCGUGAAAACCUGCAGCUCAACUGCAGGCUUGCGGUCGAUACGGGCAGGCUAGAGUUCGGUAGGGGAGACUGGAAUUCCUGGUGUAGCGGUGAAAUGCGCAGAUAUCAGGAGGAACACCGGUGGCGAAGGCGGGUCUCUGGGCCGAUACUGACGCUGAGGAGCGAAGGCGUGGGGAGCGAACAGG
RNAcentral lists this ribosomal RNA (253 nucleotides) under uncultured bacterium. RNAcentral's name for it is "partial 16S ribosomal RNA". It matches the Rfam family "Bacterial small subunit ribosomal RNA", at positions 524 to 776 of the family's 1533-position model. The record is from RNAcentral.